GAGUUUGAUCGUGGCUCAGAUUGAACGCUGGCGGCAGGCCUAACACAUGCAAGUCGAGCGGUAGAGAGAAGCUUGCUUCUCUUGAGAGCGGCGGACGGGUGAGUAAUGCCUAGGAAUCUGCCUGGUAGUGGGGGAUAACGCUCGGAAACGGACGCUAAUACCGCAUACGUCCUACGGGAGAAAGCAGGGGACCUUCGGGCCUUGCGCUAUCAGAUGAGCCUAGGUCGGAUUAGCUAGUUGGUGAGGUAAUGGCUCACCAAGGCGACGAUCCGUAACUGGUCUGAGAGGAUGAUCAGUCACACUGGAACUGAGACACGGUCCAGACUCCUACGGGAGGCAGCAGUGGGGAAUAUUGGACAAUGGGCGAAAGCCUGAUCCAGCCAUGCCGCGUGUGUGAAGAAGGUCUUCGGAUUGUAAAG
This 419-nucleotide ribosomal RNA is filed under the name uncultured bacterium. Its description in RNAcentral is "bacterial SSU rRNA". It matches the Rfam family "Bacterial small subunit ribosomal RNA", at positions 9 to 430 of the family's 1533-position model. The record is from RNAcentral.